This 429-nucleotide ribosomal RNA is filed under the name Chloroflexota bacterium. RNAcentral describes it as "Chloroflexi bacterium partial 16S ribosomal RNA". It matches the Rfam family "Bacterial small subunit ribosomal RNA", at positions 355 to 776 of the family's 1533-position model. The record is from RNAcentral. Lineage: Bacteria; Bacillati; Chloroflexota.
UGGGGAAUAUUGCACAAUGGGCGCAAGCCUGAUGCAGCCAUGCCGCGUGUAUGAAGAAGGCCUUCGGGUUGUAAAGUACUUUCAGCGGGGAGGAAGGGAGUAAAGUUAAUACCUUUGCUCAUUGACGUUACCCGCAGAAGAAGCACCGGCUAACUCCGUGCCAGCAGCCGCGGUAAUACGGAGGGUGCAAGCGUUAAUCGGAAUUACUGGGCGUAAAGCGCACGCAGGCGGUUUGUUAAGUCAGAUGUGAAAUCCCCGGGCUCAACCUGGGAACUGCAUCUGAUACUGGUCAGCUAGAGUCUUGUAGAGGGGGGUAGAAUUCCAUGUGUAGCGGUGAAAUGCGUAGAGAUGUGGAGGAAUACCGGUGGCGAAGGCGGCCCCCUGGACAAAGACUGACGCUCAGGUGCGAAAGCGUGGGGAGCAAACAGG